Molecule: ribosomal RNA, 253 nt
Filed under: uncultured bacterium
Lineage: Bacteria
Description: partial 16S ribosomal RNA
Rfam family: Bacterial small subunit ribosomal RNA
Source: RNAcentral
GACGAACCGAGCGAACGUUGUUCGGAAUCACUGGGCUUAAAGGGCGCGUAGGCGGGCUGUCAAGUCUGGGGUGAAAUCCCGCGGCUCAACCGUGGAACUGCCUCAGAUACUGACGGUCUCGAGGGGGAUAGGGGCGAGCGGAACUGAUGGUGGAGCGGUGAAAUGCGUUGAUAUCAUCAGGAACACCGGUGGCGAAAGCGGCUUACUGGGUCUCUUCUGACGCUGAGGUACGAAAGCUAGGGGAGCGAACGGG